This 263-nucleotide ribosomal RNA is filed under the name uncultured bacterium. RNAcentral's name for it is "partial 16S ribosomal RNA". It matches the Rfam family "Bacterial small subunit ribosomal RNA", at positions 524 to 785 of the family's 1533-position model. The record is from RNAcentral.
UACGAAGGGGGCUAGCGUUGCUCGGAUUGACUGGGCGUAAAGGGCGCGUAGGCGGUUCGUACAGUCAGACGUGAAAUUCCUGGGCUCAACCUGGGGGCUGCGUUUGAUACGUGCGGACUUGAGUGCGGAAGAGGGUCGUGGAAUUCCCAGUGUAGAGGUGAAAUUCGUAGAUAUUGGGAAGAACACCGGUGGCGAAGGCGGCGACCUGGUCCGAUACUGACGCUGAGGCUGCGAAAGCGUGGGGAGCAAACAGGAUUAGAACC